UCUCUGUUAGCGUACGGGUUAGUGCACGUCGCUGUCAUGAUGUCUAAGUUAUGCGGGAAAGCUGGGUUCGAGUCCCAGACAGAGAG
RNAcentral lists this transfer RNA (86 nucleotides) under Laccaria bicolor S238N-H82. RNAcentral's name for it is "tRNA-Und (NNN) (tRNA-Und-NNN-19-1)". The record is from RNAcentral. Lineage: Eukaryota; Fungi; Basidiomycota; Agaricomycetes; Agaricales; Hydnangiaceae.